This 207-nucleotide ribosomal RNA is filed under the name uncultured bacterium. RNAcentral's name for it is "partial 16S ribosomal RNA". It matches the Rfam family "Bacterial small subunit ribosomal RNA", at positions 568 to 774 of the family's 1533-position model. The record is from RNAcentral.
CACGCAGGUGGCUGAGUAAGUCGAUUGUGAAAGCCCUGGGCUUAACCUGGGAAUUGCAUUCGAUACUGCUUGGCUAGAGUGUGGGAGAGGGAAGUGGAAUUCCCGGUGUAGCGGUGAAAUGCGUAGAUAUCGGGAGGAACAUCAGUGGCGAAGGCGGCUUCCUGGCCCAACACUGACACUCAGGUGCGACAGCGUGGGGAGCAAACA